This 1028-nucleotide ribosomal RNA is filed under the name uncultured Burkholderia sp. RNAcentral's name for it is "bacterial SSU rRNA". It matches the Rfam family "Bacterial small subunit ribosomal RNA", at positions 337 to 1363 of the family's 1533-position model. The record is from RNAcentral. Lineage: Bacteria; Pseudomonadati; Pseudomonadota; Betaproteobacteria; Burkholderiales; Burkholderiaceae.
UCCUACGGGAGGCAGCAGUGGGAAAUUUUGGACAAUGGGCGAAAGCCUGAUCCAGCAAUGCCGCGUGUGUGAAGAAGGCCUUCGGGUUGUAAAGCACUUUUGUCCGGAAAGAAAUCCUUGGCUCUAAUACAGUCGGGGGAUGACGGUACCGGAAGAAUAAGCACCGGCUAACUACGUGCCAGCAGCCGCGGUAAUACGUAGGGUGCGAGCGUUAAUCGGAAUUACUGGGCGUAAAGCGUGCGCAGGCGGUUUGCUAAGACCGAUGUGAAAUCCCCGGGCUCAACCUGGGAACUGCAUUGGUGACUGGCAGGCUAGAGUAUGGCAGAGGGGGGUAGAAUUCCACGUGUAGCAGUGAAAUGCGUAGAGAUGUGGAGGAAUACCGAUGGCGAAGGCAGCCCCCUGGGCCAAUACUGACGCUCAUGCACGAAAGCGUGGGGAGCAAACAGGAUUAGAUACCCUGGUAGUCCACGCCCUAAACGAUGUCAACUAGUUGUUGGGGAUUCAUUUCCUUAGUAACGUAGCUAACGCGUGAAGUUGACCGCCUGGGGAGUACGGUCGCAAGAUUAAAACUCAAAGGAAUUGACGGGGACCCGCACAAGCGGUGGAUGAUGUGGAUUAAUUCGAUGCAACGCGAAAAACCUUACCUACCCUUGACAUGGUCGGAAUCCCGCUGAGAGGUGGGAGUGCUCGAAAGAGAACCGGCGCACAGGUGCUGCAUGGCUGUCGUCAGCUCGUGUCGUGAGAUGUUGGGUUAAGUCCCGCAACGAGUGCAACCCUUGUCCUUAGUUGCUACGCAAGAGCACUCUAAGGAGACUGCCGGUGACAAACCGGAGGAAGGUGGGGAUGACGUCAAGUCCUCAUGGCCCUUAUGGGUAGGGCUUCACACGUCAUACAAUGGUCGGAACAGAGGGUUGCCAACCCGCGAGGGGGAGCUAAUCCCAGAAAACCGAUCGUAGUCCGGAUUGCACUCUGCAACUCGAGUGCAUGAAGCUGGAAUCGCUAGUAAUCGCGGAUCAGCAUGCCGCGGU